CAGAGUUUAGGGUCCCUUGUGGGCCCAAACCUCCAACCCCCUUGGUGUCUACUACCCUGUUGCUUCGGCAGGCCCAGUGGGUACCUGCCGGAGCCUUAUGUGCAACAAUCUGUUUAUGAAUUGUUAGUCUGAACCUUCUGGAAAACAAAGAAUUGUUA
RNAcentral lists this unclassified non-coding RNA (158 nucleotides) under uncultured Trichoglossum. RNAcentral describes it as "sequence contains ITS1". Lineage: Eukaryota; Fungi; Ascomycota; Geoglossomycetes; Geoglossales; Geoglossaceae. The record is from RNAcentral.